CAGCAGCCGCGGUAAUACGAAGGGGGCUAGCGUUGUUCGGAUUUACUGGGCGUAAAGGGCGCGUAGGCGGGCUGGUAAGUCAGGGGUGAAAUCCCAAGGCUCAACCUUGGAACUGCCUUUGAUACUGUUUGUCUUGAGUUCGAGAGAGGUAAGUGGAACUGCGAGUGUAGAGGUGAAAUUCGUAGAUAUUCGCAAGAACACCAGUGGCGAAGGCGGCUUACUGGCUCGAAACUGACGCUGAGGCGCGAAAGCGUGGGGAGCAAACAGGAUUAGAUACCCCUGUAGUCCCUGUCUCUUAUAC
RNAcentral lists this ribosomal RNA (301 nucleotides) under uncultured bacterium. RNAcentral describes it as "partial 16S ribosomal RNA". It matches the Rfam family "Bacterial small subunit ribosomal RNA", at positions 509 to 807 of the family's 1533-position model. The record is from RNAcentral.